GGGCCCGCACAAGCGGUGGAGCAUGUGGUUUAAUUCGAUGAUACGCGAGGAACCUUACCAGGGCUUAAAUGUGGUUUGACAGCUUUAGAGAUAGAGUUUUCUUCGGACAAAUCACAAGGUGCUGCAUGGUUGUCGUCAGCUCGUGCCGUGAGGUGUCAGGUUAAGUCCUAUAACGAGCGCAACCCCUGUUGUUAGUUGCCAGCGAGUAAUGUCGGGAACUCUAGCAAGACUGCCGGUGCAAACCGUGAGGAAGGUGGGGAUGACGUCAAAUCAUCACGGCCCUUACGUCCUGGGCUACACACGUGCUACAAUGGUAGGGACAGAGAGCAGCCAUACAGCGGUGAAUCCGUUCCCGGGCCUUGUACACACCGCCCGUCACACCAUGGGAGCUGGUCAUACCCGAAACCGUUAGCUUAACCAUUUG
Molecule: ribosomal RNA, 424 nt
Filed under: uncultured bacterium
Lineage: Bacteria
Description: bacterial SSU rRNA
Rfam family: Bacterial small subunit ribosomal RNA
Source: RNAcentral